CCUUCGGGUUGUAAAGCUCUUUCAGCGGGGACAAAACGGCAACCUGCGAAUAACGGGUGUUAAUGAUGGUACCCGAAGAAGAAAGCACCCGGCUAACUACGUGC
RNAcentral lists this ribosomal RNA (104 nucleotides) under uncultured bacterium. Its description in RNAcentral is "partial 16S ribosomal RNA". The record is from RNAcentral.